RNAcentral lists this ribosomal RNA (112 nucleotides) under Bacteroidia bacterium. Lineage: Bacteria; Pseudomonadati; Bacteroidota; Bacteroidia. The record is from RNAcentral.
UUGGGCGACUAUGGCGAGGGUGAUCACUUCUUCCCAUUCCGAACAGAAUCGUUAAGCCCCUCAGCGCAGAUGAUACUAGAGUAAAAUCUGGGAAAGUAUGUCGUUGCCCCUU